This is a long non-coding RNA of Teleopsis dalmanni, 2462 nucleotides long. RefSeq lists it as uncharacterized. The transcript is spliced from 7 exons. NCBI's taxonomy places the organism in Eukaryota, Metazoa, Arthropoda, Insecta, Diptera, Diopsidae. The record is from RefSeq and is a predicted model, not a curated record.
CAAUAACGACGUUGCUAACAUCAUCGUCAAAUAUAUUUAGCUCUGCGUAUGGCUGGAACACAUCGUUUCUAUUCGUUUUUGUGUUGUCGUCGAAUUUGUUGCUUCAUUCAUUCGCGUUUGGUUCGUCCGUAUGUUUCGGUUGAUUUUGGUUUGGUUGGGUUUCAACUUUUCAGACACUGGCAUUCCGUUGCUUCGAUAACACAGUGCAAGUGCCAAGGGUAUAAAUAUAAAUAUAAAGUUUAUUAUAAAACUGAAAAAACAAAAAAAAACUUGAAUAAACAAAAAUUAAUUUUAACAACACAAAAAAUAAGUAACAGAUAAAGUGUGAAAUAUGAGACUGACACAAGUGCUGCAAUGCUAAAAUUUAAAUAAAGAAUUUUAAAGACUUGUUAAUUAAGCGCUAGACUAGUCCGAAUCGAUGCAAUAAUGGACCUGCAUAUAUGUUAAAUUUACUAAAAAUUUGCAGUGUACGAACUACGAAAUAAACCAAUUCGAAACGCUGAGUUAUUUGACAAGUUGUCACAGUUGUCAUAGUUAUCUGUUAAAUACGAAAAGACGGCGCUAGACUAAUUAGAAAAAAAUUGAGAAAAUCACAAAAAAUUAUCUACAAAAUUAUUAAUAAUUAUAAGUAAUCACAAAGUGGUUAGUAAGUCGCUAAUUAUGAACUUGUUUCGUUUACGAAUUGCAUCUCGUUUGCCAGCGGUUCGAAUAGAGCUCGUGCUCAAACAAUCAACAUUAGGCACACUGCAAAAUCUACUGCAAUUGUAGUGGGAUUUUCAACCUAGUGUAUAUGUGCUAAGUCGGACUCUGCUCUAGGCUAGCCAUGUCUAUCGGGAAACUUUCAUACGCGCGGCAUACUUUAAACCGGAUGUGAACUUGGACACUGCAAUUCAUUAACAAUGAUUAAAAUCGUACUCUUAGACAAAAUAGCGUUUGAUUUCUAACAGUGUAUAAAUUACACGUAAAAUGAAAAACUUCAAAUUAUAAAAACAGAGUGUAUCGAAAAAUGCAUACAAAUUUCAUAGCCAUCCACAAUGUGCUUCUCGACAAAUCAGUACUAACUCUACAAAUAGACCAAGUAAAGACUGCUAACGGCAUUUCCCUUGCCAGGAACGCAGGUCUUGGCUUUACUUUUUCUUAUUAAAUCGCAGUUUAAUCUGCGCAUUUAUUUAAAAUUAGAAAAAAAACUGAGCCGCUCACGUUUAAGUUUUCAUUUAAUUAAGUCGUAAAUUAAUUCGCAGCUUAAUGGAUUCUUUUCCGACGUUUUUGUAUCCGAACGCUGCUACUGCCGAGCUAAUGAAAGUACCUAAUAAUGGGGAAUGGGAAAUAUCCACAUAAAAGCUACGUUUUGUGAAAUUUGUAAACUACUUAUGCAACUACUUAAAUGCUCGCAUUUCACAGAAAAACGUUUUUUGAUGUGUGGCCAUUAGCACAGACGAAGGCACAAUUGUGACGUAUGCGGAAAUUUGUUUAGUAAACAAAAUAAAGUCAACAAGGCUUCAUAAAAAAACAAACAAAAGCCUAUUUUCAUAUCCAAAAAGCCCUGCUUGAACUGAAAUCAUUUGCCGAUUCAGCUAGUGUGACAGCAAUGUUAUUAACUUACUCACUGUAGUGCUUUGCCAAAUUGACGGUAUAAUAAAUUCUUGGCUGAACUCAUGCAAUAAAGAAUAGCAAAUCAAGAACAUCCUUUGAUAAAAUCUGAAUGAUAUUGUAAGAAAAUGGAAAAACUGCCCAAAAUGUACAAAAUGCCAGAAGACGUUAUGCUUAAAAGAAGAAAAGAACAACAGCUACAAAGACCUUAAAGGUGCUUAACUUUUGCGUUCGUGCAUUCGUGCGUCUCUAGACGUUGAUCAGGAUACUCGCCAGAAAGAAUUUAGCUCGUAAAUGAAGUGUGAAUCAACUGCAGUAGCGCUACUGCUUAAAUUGCUGUCUGUCUGAGGCCUGCGCUGUUGCCUACGCUACUUGUCACAGCAAAUGUUACAUUCAACGGUAACUUUUUUGUGCUUUAUUAAAGCGCUAUUUUUGUACCUUAUACUUUUGCACUAUACUAAUGGAUAUUUGAUAAGAAAUUGCAUGAAAAAAACCGGAAAAUUUUAAAAAAAUACUUCGAGAGCUGCAACGCAAAAUAGGCUACCAUCAAGUCACCACUCUACAACGACACACAGGAACUAAAGUCCUCUAUACUUCAUGUUGACACACGUGGUCUUUGAUAUAUUAAUAUUUGCUGCGGCCAGCGUCAUGAGUUCAAUAUCUAUCCGAAGGACAGACGGACAGGACAGAUGGGUUUCUGUAUGUACGUAACUGCAUUUGUUUCCUUUUCCGUCGUUUUCAGCUUUUUAGUUUUUAAUGCAUUUUAAAUAUUAAUGGCUCGGUGCGACCGGAUGAUGGUCUUCAACGACCGUUUUUUCACACAGGUCGGUGGGACUUUCGUCCGUUUGUAACGUCAUUUGUCAGCAAAGAAC